RNAcentral lists this ribosomal RNA (480 nucleotides) under uncultured bacterium. Its description in RNAcentral is "bacterial SSU rRNA". It matches the Rfam family "Bacterial small subunit ribosomal RNA", at positions 17 to 518 of the family's 1533-position model. The record is from RNAcentral.
UCCUGGCUUAGGACGAACGCUGGCGGCGUGCUUAACACAUGCAAGUUGAACGGUAUGACAUGGAAGCUUGCUGAAGUGUCAUAUAGUAGCGGACGGGUGAGUAAUGCAUGAGAAGCUGCCAUUGGGAGGGGGACAACAGUUGGAAACGGCUGCUAAUACCCCGUAUGCCGGAGGGUGAAAGGGAGUAAUCCGCCCGAUGAGGUGCUCAUGUCCUAUCAGCUGGUUGGUGGGGUAACGGCCUACCAAGGCGACGACGGGUAGCCGGCCUGAGAGGGUGAACGGCCACACUGGAACUGAGAUACGGUCCAGACUCCUACGGGAGGCAGCAGUGGGGAAUAUUUGGGGCAAUGGGGGCAACCCUGACCCAGCGACGCCGCGUGGGGGAAGACGGCCUUCGGGUUGUAAACCUCUUUUGUACGGGAAGAAGGAAGUGACGGUACUGUACGAAUAAGUCCCGGCUAACUACGUGCCAGCCGCCGC